AAUGAUUAGAAAGGGAGGGGAGGGAGGGGAUAAAUGAUUAGAAAGGGAGGGGAGGGAGGGGAUAAAUGAUUAGAAAGGGAGGGGAGGGAGGGGAUAAAUGAUUAGAAAGGGAGGGGAGGGAGGGGAUAAAUGAUUAGAAAGGGAGGGGAGGGAAAGGAAUAAGGGAGACAGGGAUGUUAAAUGAAAAGAAGAAAAAAGAAGAUAGAUAGCUGUUUGAGGUCAUGGCAUAUUGAUUCCUGUUCAUUCAUGUGUUGGCGGAUGAGGAAAAUGAUUAGAUAAGAUACAGGAGGGAAGACAGGAAUGUUAAAUGAAAAGAAAAAAGGAAGAAAAAAGAAAAUAGAUAGCUGAUUGAAGUCUUGGCAUAUUGAUUCCUGUUCCUUCAUGUGUUGGCGGAUGAGGAAAAUGAUUAGAUAAGAUACAGGAGGGAAGACAGGAAUGUUAAAUGAAAAGAAAAAAGGAAGAAAAAAGAAAAUAGAUAGCUGAUUGAAGUCUUGGCAAAUUGAUUCCUGUUCCUUCAUGUGUUGGCAGGUGAGGAAAAUGAUUAGAUAAGGAGAUAGAUAAGGGAGACAGGGAUGUUAAAUGAAAAGAAAAAAGGAAGAAAAAAGAAAAUAGAUAGCUGAUUGAAGUCUUGGCACAUUGAUUCCUGUUCAUUCAUGUGUUGGCGGGUGAGGAAAAUGAUUAGAUAAGGAGAUAGAUAAGGGAGACAGGGAUGUUAAAUGAAAAGAAAAAAGGAAGAAAAAAGAAGAUAGAUAACUGUUUGAGGUCUUGGCACAUUGAUUCCUGUUCAUUCAUAUUUUGGGGAUGAAGAAAAUAAUUAGAAAGCCAGAUAGAUAAGGGAAAAUAAGGAUGUUGAAUUAGAAGGAAAGAAGACACAUAGCUGAUUGACAGUUGGUGGAUGUUGGUGGACAGUUGACUGAUCACAAAAUGCAACAAUACAUACAUUCCUAAUUAAUUCCAUGUGUGAUUAUGUGUUUAUUAGAGUUUAAGUGUCCGUUAGUCUAUGAGUUGGUGUUUUGUUUCCAUAUUUUACUUUUCUGAUGGUUAAUUUUCAUACAUUUAUCUCUUAGGGAGCCUGACAACCAUUCUUUUAUACACUGGUAAUGCAUUAAAUAUGGUUUCAUUCAUCUGUCCCUCUCUAUUGAUUACAGAAUAUAGAUUAAUAUUAAAUAACAAAAAGAUCAGUAAUCCCAAAGCAGUUAUUUCAUGCCUAAAAAUGAUUGGAUUCAGGCUAAAACUAUACACUGAUUCAAAAGCUGUUCCUUCACACUGAAUAAACAAAACUUGAUCUUUAAAAACUUUCAGGCUUAUUUCAAGGAGGCACAUUUUUCACACAUGCUUCGUCCUAUAAAAAAAAACUUUACACUAAUUUAAGUUUUGAGAAUGCAUAAAGUAAAGAGCAAACAAGACCCUUCAAAUAAAUUCACAGACUAAAAUCAAUCAUCAUCACACUUGCUUUUCACACAUGCUUCGUCCUAUAAAAAAACAACAACUUUGCACUAAUGUAAUUUCUGAGAAUGCAUAAAGUAAAGAGCAUACAAGACCCUUCAAAUAAAUUCACACAGACAAACAAAAUCAUCAUCACCCUUGGUCUUCACUACUGCCAUUUCCAACAUAUUUUUCUUUCCUUUUCCAACUAAUCAAAACAUUUCUAGGCAAACCAACAGUCAGUAUCUAAAUCCAGCACCUCUGCACGUCAUGGCAGGUGCGUCUAUAAAACAAAACAUCUUGCGGCAUUCAGAAUAAAAGGAGGAAGACGAAGAAGUAGUUUGCCACAAGACAGAAGCAGAAGCGAGGGAGAUCAAGGUCAAUAUUAUAAGACACUUCUGGUUCUCACAUCAGCUAUUUCUAAAGGUCAAAGAGGGGGUCAAUCGGGUUCUAAUGAGUGUUUCUUUAGGUUCACAGCACAGAAGAAGGGUCAAACUACCACUAGAGAGCCACAAAACUACUCCUGGAAAAGCCCACAACUCCUAUGAAAGGCUUGUCAAAUAUGUGUUCUUGGGUUCAUGUUACAGAGGAAGGGUCAAACUACCACCAGGGCCAUGAAACUACUCCUGGAAAAGCCCACAACUCCUACGAAAGGCUUGUCAAAUAUGUGUUCUUGGGUUCAUGUUACAGAGGAAGGGUCAAACUACCACUAGAGAACCAUAAAACUACUCCUGGAAAAGCCCACAACUCCUAUGAAAGGCUUGUCAAAUAUGUGUUCUUGGGUUCAUGUUACAGAUGAAGGGUCAAACUACCACCAGGGCCAUAAAACUACUCCUGGAAAAGCCCCAAACUCCUAUGAAAGGCUUGUCAAAUAUGUGUUGUUGGGUUCAUGUUACAGAUGAAGGGUCAAACUACCACCAGGGCCAUAAAACUACUCCAGGAAAAGCCCCAAACUCCUAUGAAAGGCUUGUCAAAUAUGUGUUCUUGGGUUCAUGUUACAGAGGAAGGGUCAAACUACCACCAGGGCCAUAAAACUACUCCUGGAAAAGCCCCAAACUCCUAUGAAAGGCUUGUCAAAUAUGUGUUCUUGGGUUCAUGUUACAGAGGAAGGGUCAAACUACCACCAGGGCCAUAAAACUACUCCAGGAAAAGCCACAAACUCCUAUGAAAGGCUUGUCAAAUAUGUGUUCUUGGCCGGCGAAAUGUCUUAUAAUACGACCCCAAGGCUUUAUCGAUAGACCUGACCCACUUACCUCAUAGUUCUUGCUUUCCUCACUUAUGCUAACCCCCAACUUCUCACAGCGGAGGGCGGAAAACUGUAUUAUUUUCUAUUCUAAAAAGGGUGCUAUGCGUAAUCUGUUCUUGCUAUGAAUGAUUGGAUGAAUUUAUGGUAACAAGAUAUGAUGUUUAUUUAUUUUAUGGUUUGGUGGUACUGGUAUUCUUCAUGGUAACAAUAUAUGGGUGUUUACUGUCAUUCAACAUGCUCAUCCGUUCUGAAGCCACUCCGUCCUCAUCAUCCACCCACUCCCACAUAUACUCAUCCACUCUCUCUCACCCAUUACAUAGCCUUUCCCUCUCUCUCUCUUUCAUCCAUUCACAUACAUACUCAUCCAAUCUCUCUCUCUCUCUCUCUCUCAUCCAUUCUUACACAGCCUCUCCCCCUCUCUCUCUUUCAUCCAUUCCCAAACAUACUCAUCCAUUCUCUCUCUCUCUUUCAUGCAUUUCCACAUUUACUCAUCCACUCUCUCUCACCCUUCUUACACACCCUCUCCCUGUCUCAUCCAUUUUCCCUCACACACACACACACACACACACACAGACACACACACACAU
Molecule: long non-coding RNA, 3258 nt
Organism: Eriocheir sinensis (Chinese mitten crab)
Lineage: Eukaryota; Metazoa; Arthropoda; Malacostraca; Decapoda; Varunidae
Exons: 3
Source: RefSeq, a predicted model, not a curated record